Molecule: RNA transcript, 1066 nt
Organism: Spinacia oleracea (spinach)
Lineage: Eukaryota; Viridiplantae; Streptophyta; Magnoliopsida; Caryophyllales; Amaranthaceae
Gene name: ubiquitin domain-containing protein DSK2b-like
Exons: 3
Source: RefSeq, a predicted model, not a curated record
CAGUAGCCCGCCAAAUGUAAUGCAUUUCUGAUUUUCACCCCUCUCUCACCCCCCUCUAUCUCUUUCUCUCUCUCCUCAUUUCAUUAAUCAACAGCGUUUAAUGCUCCUUUUCUCUCCUCCUUUCACCUUCGUUUCUGGCUCCUUCUCUCUCCUGCUUUCCGGUGAAGAAUGACCGGACGACAUAUCUCCGGUUUUGUGGUUCGUUUCCUUUUUUUAUUGGAUUUUAAACCAUCAUCCUUAUUUUUACCAAUUUUGCGCUCUCUCUCAUAGAACUUCGUCUUCGCAAAAUCCCCCCUUUCAUCUAUCUAGGGUUAGGGUUUUCUUCUCCUCAAUCGACCGAUCGACAAUUUUUCCCCUUUAUAGACGACAAAUAUAACCAUGGGAGCUGAAGGUGAUUCUAGCGACACCGCAUCUGUUGCCGCUGGCGAAGUUUCCGUUAAUAUUCGCUGCUCAAACGGCUCGAAAUUUACCGUGAAAAUGACGCUUGAUUCUAACGUCGGCGACUUCAAAUCUGUCGUUGCGCAAAACUGCGAUGUUCCUGCCGAUCAGCAGAGGUUGAUCUACAAAGGUCGGAUUCUCAAAGAUGACCAAACCCUAGAAAGCUAGGGAAUUGAAGAAAUGAUGAAGCCUAAGUUGGAGGCCACCUCAAGGACUAAGGAGUUGAUGGAGGAAGUACCCUAGGCCUAAUUCAUCGACAAUUGGGAAGAUAUUUGCACAUUAUUUGCCUCGAACAGAUAUGUCACCAAGUCUUAAGGGCGGUCAAGCGGCACGUUAAUGGCACAAAUGAUGAGUUCGAUGAUCUGAAAUUAUUUUGGAUCUUAUUAUGUAUUGACGGGUAGCAUUUUAGUAUUUUAGGUAUAUUAGGUUGGAUCCUAUGUUUUAUUGGAUGUCAUAUUUGAAAAUUUGGAUCUUAUAUAUUUGUAUUUUACAGUAUCGUAGACAUAUAUAUUUUAUUUUACAAUUAUUUUCUAUUUUACAGUACUAUUGUAAACAUAUACAGUACAGUCUAACACUUGUAUAUAAUUUCAACAUUUUUAAAUGUUUCAUAUAUUAUGUUUACCAUUCA